GCUCUGGUGGCUCAAUCGGAUAGAGCGUUGGACUUCUAAUCCAAAGGUUGCGGGUUCAAGUCCCGUCCAGAAUA
RNAcentral lists this transfer RNA (74 nucleotides) under Perkinsus marinus ATCC 50983. It matches the Rfam family "tRNA". Rfam says of the family: Transfer RNA (tRNA) molecules are approximately 80 nucleotides in length. Their secondary structure includes four short double-helical elements and three loops (D, anti-codon, and T loops). Further hydrogen bonds mediate the characteristic L-shaped molecular structure. tRNAs have two regions of fundamental functional importance: the anti-codon, which is responsible for specific mRNA codon recognition, and the 3' end, to which the tRNAs corresponding amino acid is attached (by aminoacyl-tRNA synthetases). tRNAs cope with the degeneracy of the genetic code in two manners: having more than one tRNA (with a specific anti-codon) for a particular amino acid; and 'wobble' base-pairing, i.e. permitting non-standard base-pairing at the 3rd anti-codon position. Lineage: Eukaryota; Perkinsozoa; Perkinsida; Perkinsidae. The record is from Rfam by way of RNAcentral.